This 253-nucleotide ribosomal RNA is filed under the name uncultured bacterium. RNAcentral describes it as "partial 16S ribosomal RNA". It matches the Rfam family "Bacterial small subunit ribosomal RNA", at positions 524 to 776 of the family's 1533-position model. The record is from RNAcentral.
UACGAAGGGGGCUAGCGUUGUUCGGAAUUACUGGGCGUAAAGCGUGCGUAGGUGGUGCGUUAAGUCUGUCGUGAAAGCCCCGGGCUCAACCUGGGAAUGGCGAUGGAUACUGGCUCGCUAGAGUGCGGUAGAGGAGAGUGGAAUUCCCGGUGUAGCAGUGAAAUGCGUAGAGAUCGGGAGGAACAUCAGUUGCGAAGGCGGCUCUCUGGACCAGCACUGACACUGAGGCACGAAAGCGUGGGGAGCAAACAGG